CAGGCCUAACACAUGCAAGUCGAACGCUGAAGCUCAGCUUGCUGGGUGGAUGAGUGGCGAACGGGUGAGUAACACGUGAGUAACCUGCCCCCUUCUUUGGGAUAACGCCCGGAAACGGGUGCUAAUACUGGAUAUUCACUGGCCUUCGCAUGGGGGUUGGUGGAAAGGUUUGUUCUGGUGGGGGAUGGGCUCGCGGCCUAUCAGCUUGUUGGUGGGGUGAUGGCCUACCAAGGCUUUGACGGGUAGCCGGCCUGAGAGGGUGACCGGUCACAUUGGGACUGAGAUACGGCCCAGACUCCUACGGGAGGCAGCAGUGGGGAAUAUUGCACAAUGGGCGAAAGCCUGAUGCAGCGACGCCGCGUGAGGGAUGGAGGCCUUCGGGUUGUAAACCUCUUUCGCUCAUGGUCAAGCCGCAACAGUGGUUGUGGUGAGGGUAGUGGGUAAAGAAGCGCCGGCUAACUACGUGCCAGCAGCCGCGGUAAUACGUAGGGCGCGAGCGUUGUCCGGAAUUAUUGGGCGUAAAGGGCUUGUAGGCGGUUGGUCGCGUCUGCCGUGAAAUCCUCUGGCUUAACUGGGGGCGUGCGGUGGGUACGGGCUGACUUGAGUGCGGUAGGGGAGACUGGAACUCCUGGUGUAGCGGUGGAAUGCGCAGAUAUCAGGAAGAACACCGGUGGCGAAGGCGGGUCUCUGGGCCGUUACUGACGCUGAGGAGCGAAAGCGUGGGGAGCGAACAGGAUUAGAUACCCUGGU
This 750-nucleotide ribosomal RNA is filed under the name uncultured bacterium. RNAcentral's name for it is "bacterial SSU rRNA". It matches the Rfam family "Bacterial small subunit ribosomal RNA", at positions 43 to 791 of the family's 1533-position model. The record is from RNAcentral.